GACGUAGGGCGCGAGCGUUGUCCGGAUUUAUUGGGCGUAAAGAGCUCGUAGGCGGCUCAUUGCGUCAACCGUGAAAACCAGCAGCUCAACUGUUGGCUUGCGGUUGAUACGGGUGGGCUGGAGUUCGGUAGGGGAGACUGGAAUUCCUGGUGUAGCGGUGAAAUGCGCAGAUAUCAGGAGGAACACCGAUGGCGAAGGCAGGUCUCUGGGCAUUAACUGACGCUGAGGAGCGAAAGCAUGGGGAGCGAACAGG
Molecule: ribosomal RNA, 253 nt
Filed under: uncultured bacterium
Lineage: Bacteria
Description: partial 16S ribosomal RNA
Rfam family: Bacterial small subunit ribosomal RNA
Source: RNAcentral